AGAAGAAUAAGCUAAAAUUAAGCUAUUAGGUUCAUACCCUAAAUAUAGAUUUAUUCUUUCUUCUA
Molecule: transfer RNA, 65 nt
Filed under: Agramma hupehanum
Lineage: Eukaryota; Metazoa; Arthropoda; Insecta; Hemiptera; Tingidae
Description: tRNA-Met
Source: RNAcentral